Molecule: ribosomal RNA, 479 nt
Filed under: uncultured bacterium
Lineage: Bacteria
Description: bacterial SSU rRNA
Rfam family: Bacterial small subunit ribosomal RNA
Source: RNAcentral
GAUGAACGCUAGCGGGAGGCUUAACACAUGCAAGUCGAGGGGUAAAUGGUAGCAAUACUAUGAGACCGGCGGACGGGUGCGUAACGCGUAUGCAACUUACCUUAUGCAGGGGGAUAGCCCGGGAAACCCGGAUUAAUACCGCAUAGAUCAGUAGGAUCGCAUGGUUUAACUGGUAAAAUUCUGGUGGCAUAAGAUGGGCAUGGCGUCUGAUUAGCUAGUUGGUAGGGUAACGGCCUACCAAGGCGACGAUGGCUAGGGGGUCUGAGAGGACGAUCCCCCACACUGGUACUGAGACACGGACCAGACUCCUACGGGAGGCAGCAGUGAGGAAUAUUGGUCAAUGGGCGGAAGCCUGAACCAGCCAUGCCGCGUGCAGGAUGACGGCCCUACGGGUUGUAAACUGCUUUUCCCCGGGGCGAAUAACCCCCUCGCGAGGGGGGAUGCCGGUACCGGGGGAAUAAGGAUCGGCUAACUCCGUG